GUAGGUACCAAGUUUACCAUUUUCUUACGGUCGGCGGGAUUAUAUUAUAAUAUUUUUGUGUGAUGUUGAUGAUUGCAGAAUUCUUAUUCCGCUGAAGGAUUUAAAAAGAAAUAACUAUUUCCUUGGGUAGGUGCUUGUUCUGUCUCGUCCUAGGCAUAGGUAUCUAAUAAAGAAACGGACGGGCCAUCCCGUCGUAGCUGUGUAACGGAAGAAAACGCUAGAGAUCACAGUCGUUUGUAGAGUUGCCGGGUAUUUGAUAAUUAUAAACGAUAAUAAUUUCAUUAGACCGUUAACGAUUGCGAUUUUUGAACACCGUGAUUCGGUAACCAGUACGCAUACCAUAUUGGUAACUAUAUAUAUAUUUAUGGUCCUUUUCGAUCACAUACGGGAAAAAUAGCAUCACGGCCCACCCGUGUCUUAACGAUUAUUAUCUAUAGGUAUGAUUCCGGGACCGUUUUCACGGCACCGUUGCUGUUGCUGCUACAUAGAACGCUCGUGCCGUUUUAUGUAUUGUAGGUCAAUGUAUAUAGAAAUGUAUGUAAAAUAGCUUUUUUUCUUCCACUUUGUAAAAC
This is a non-coding RNA of Cinara cedri, 572 nucleotides long. The record is from the annotation of a GenBank genome assembly. Lineage: Eukaryota; Metazoa; Arthropoda; Insecta; Hemiptera; Aphididae.